Clupea harengus (Atlantic herring) is the source of this 550-nucleotide long non-coding RNA. The record is from Ensembl. Lineage: Eukaryota; Metazoa; Chordata; Actinopteri; Clupeiformes; Clupeidae.
UAUGCAGACGCAGACCGUUACGAUUGACUGACACACACACACAUUGUUCAAAUCAUACGCUGGACGCUUUAUUAGUCUUUCUACAUGGGUUUAGUUAAUGAUCGGGCUGUAAUAAGACCACAUCGGCUAUGUAAUCGCUGACAACCGGGACAAUUUCAUAGUGGUUGCUGUAAACCGGGACAUUUUAGCGUCCCGACAGGUUUUUGUCGGGACUCGGGACACGCAACUCAAAAUCGGGACUGUCCCGGUAAAACCGGGACGUCUGGUCACCCUAUGUUAGCUUCAGUAUGUGCUAGGUGUUUGCUUCAGUAUGUGCUAGGUGUUAGCAUCAGUAUGUGCUAGGUGUUAGCAUCAGUAUGUGCUAGGUGUUAACAUCAGUAGAUGCUAGGUGUUAGCAUCAGUAUGUGAUAUGUGUUAGCAUUAGUAUGUGCUAGGUGUUGUUAGGCCUCUUGCUCUGCUGAGCUAGAGAAGAGCAUGAACUAGCUACCUAGCUUGCCUCCACGCCUAGCCAGCUUCCAAUGUUUGUGCCUUGAUCGACUGUUGGCGGGUA